GGUACCAAAUUCGGUCUCAAUGACCAAUUUCCAAGGGAGAUAAACAAACGUCRUAAGAGACUGUAUCCGGUACAAAGACAACAAAGGGAGAAUGGCCAAUGCUGCUUCCUUCAGCACUCAUGGAGAGAGAAGAGCAGAGAAGAGAGAGCAAGAGAGAAGUGGAGAAGAAAGUCUGUGGACAUAACUGAGCUUUCAUAUUGCAAACCAUGGCACAUAGGGUAUGGAUCCCCAUCAGCAAUGAGCAAUGGUGAGAUCAUGAUGAGGUUUCAUCUCUUCCUCUUUUCUGUCCUGUGGAUGGCGUGACGACCCUUUCAUCUUCUUCAACCCCUCCUAAUGUUCCUGGGGCACCGGCACUACCCUCCUUCUUGAUGCUGGGAAAGAUGGAGGGAGGUACAUACUAGUGAUGGGUGGAAAAAUCGAUACAGUUACAUACAGGGAAAUACUUUUUGACAAUAUAUUGUAUUGUUUUGACAAUAUCGCAAUAUUAUUUUUGCAUUUGUUGGCUGUACCGGCACCAAACUCCAGUAUUUUUCCAACAUAGCUUGUUUUCCAUCUUCUUUUUAAAUAGGGAGCCAAUUUGUUUUCAGCACUUUUAUUUCCGUGAAUGAUCUUUCUUGUCCCUCUCCAGCAGACAUAUGUUGUGCAAUAUGUUUGGAACAUCAAAUCGCAAUAAAAUCACAGUAUCGAAUCGCGAUACCAAUAGA
Salvelinus sp. IW2-2015 is the source of this 704-nucleotide long non-coding RNA. RefSeq lists it as uncharacterized. NCBI's taxonomy places the organism in Eukaryota, Metazoa, Chordata, Actinopteri, Salmoniformes, Salmonidae. The record is from RefSeq and is a predicted model, not a curated record.